GACGAACGCUGGCGGCGUGCUUAACACAUGCAAGUCGAACGGAAAGGCCCUGCUUUUGUGGGGUGCUCGAGUGGCGAACGGGUGAGUAACACGUGAGUAACCUGCCCUUGACUUUGGGAUAACUUCAGGAAACUGGGGCUAAUACCGGAUAGGAGCUCCCGCUGCAUGGUGGGGGCUGGAAAGUUUCGGCGGUUGGGGAUGGACUCGCGGCUUAUCAGCUUGUUGGUGGGGUAGUGGCUUACCAAGGCUUUGACGGGUAGCCGGCCUGAGAGGGUGACCGGCCACAUUGGGACUGAGAUACGGCCCAGACUCCUACGGGAGGCAGCAGUGGGGAAUAUUGCACAAUGGGCGGAAGCCUGAUGCAGCAACGCCGCGUGCGGGAUGACGGCCUUCGGGUUGUAAACCGCUUUCGCCUGUGACGAAGCGUGAGUGACGGUAAUGGGUAAAGAAGCACCGGCUAACUACGUG
This 468-nucleotide ribosomal RNA is filed under the name uncultured bacterium. RNAcentral's name for it is "partial 16S ribosomal RNA". It matches the Rfam family "Bacterial small subunit ribosomal RNA", at positions 28 to 507 of the family's 1533-position model. The record is from RNAcentral.